RNAcentral lists this ribosomal RNA (883 nucleotides) under Colletotrichum gloeosporioides. Its description in RNAcentral is "eukaryotic LSU rRNA". The stretch from base 184 to 883 matches the Rfam family "Eukaryotic large subunit ribosomal RNA", at positions 1 to 726 of the family's 3401-position model. The record is from RNAcentral. Lineage: Eukaryota; Fungi; Ascomycota; Sordariomycetes; Glomerellales; Glomerellaceae.
GCAUGCCUGUUCGAGCGUCAUUUCAACCCUCAAGCUCUGCUUGGUGUUGGGGCCCUACAGCUGAUGUAGGCCCUCAAAGGUAGUGGCGGACCCUCCCGGAGCCUCCUUUGCGUAGUAACUUUACGUCUCGCACUGGGAUCCGGAGGGCACUCUUGCCGUAAAACCCCCCAAUUUUCCAAAGGUUGACCUCGGAUCAGGUAGGAAUACCCGCUGAACUUAAGCAUAUCAAUAAGCGGAGGAAAAGAAACCAACAGGGAUUGCCUCAGUAACGGCGAGUGAAGCGGCAACAGCUCAAAUUUGAAAUCUNGNCCCUAGGCCCGAGUUGUAAUUUGCAGAGGACGCUUUUGGUGCGGUGCCUUCCAAGUUCCCUAGAACGGGACGCCAGAGAGGGUGAGAGCCCCGUACAGUUGGACACCAAGCCUUUGUAAAGCUCCUUCGACGAGUCGAGUAGUUUGGGAAUGCUGCUCAAAAUGGGAGGUAUAUUUCUUCUAAAGCUAAAUACCGGCCAGAGACCGAUAGCGCACAAGUAGAGUGAUCGAAAGAUGAAAAGCACUUUGAAAAGAGGGUUAAACAGCACGUGAAAUUGUUAAAAGGGAAGCGCUUGUGACCAGACUUGCGUCCGGUGAAUCACCCAGCUCUCGCGGCUGGGGCACUUCGCCGGCUCAGGCCAGCAUCAGCUCGCUGUCGGGGACAAAAGCUUCGGGAACGUAGCUCUCUUCGGGGAGUGUUAUAGCCUGUUGCACAAUACCUUCGGCGGGCUGAGGUACGCCGUCCGCAAGGAUGCUGGCAUAAUGGUCAUCAGCGACCCGUCUUGAAACACGGACCAAGGAGUCAACCUUAUGUGCGAGUGUUCGGGUGUCAAACCCCUACGCGUAAUGAAAGU